UUGAACGCUGGCGGAAUGCUUUACACAUGCAAGUCGAACGGUAGGAGGGGGCAACCCCUUGAGAGUGGCGAACGGGUGAGUAAUAUAUCGGAACGUGCCCAGUCGUGGGGGAUAACGUAGCGAAAGUUACGCUAAUACCGCAUACGAUCUAUGGAUGAAAGCGGGGGAUCGCAAGACCUCGCGCGAUUGGAGCGGCCGAUAUCAGAUUAGGUAGUUGGUGAGGUAAAGGCUCACCAAGCCGACGAUCUGUAGCUGGUCUGAGAGGACGACCAGCCACACUGGGACUGAGACACGGCCCAGACUCCUACGGGAGGCAGCAGUGGGGAAUUUUGGACAAUGGGCGCAAGCCUGAUCCAGCAAUGCCGCGUGCAGGAUGAAGGCCUUCGGGUUGUAAACUGCUUUUGUACGGAACGAAACGGUGAGCUCUAAUACAGUUUGCUAAUGACGGUACCGUAAGAAUAAGCACCGGCUAACUACGUG
This 480-nucleotide ribosomal RNA is filed under the name uncultured bacterium. RNAcentral describes it as "bacterial SSU rRNA". It matches the Rfam family "Bacterial small subunit ribosomal RNA", at positions 30 to 507 of the family's 1533-position model. The record is from RNAcentral.